Molecule: ribosomal RNA, 424 nt
Filed under: uncultured Lactobacillus sp.
Lineage: Bacteria; Bacillati; Bacillota; Bacilli; Lactobacillales; Lactobacillaceae
Description: bacterial SSU rRNA
Rfam family: Bacterial small subunit ribosomal RNA
Source: RNAcentral
GGAAUCUUCCACAAUGGGCGCAAGCCUGAUGGAGCAACGCCGCGUGAGUGAAGAAGGUUUUCGGAUCGUAAAACUCUGUUGUUGGAGAAGAACACAUUUGAGAGUAACUGUUCAGAUGUUGACGGUAUCCAACCAGAAAGCCACGGCUAACUACGUGCCAGCAGCCGCGGUAAUACGUAGGUGGCAAGCGUUGUCCGGGUUUAUUGGGCGUAAAGCGAGCGCAGGCGGUUUUUUAAGUCUGAUGGGAAAGCCUUCGGCUUAACCGAAGAAGUGCAUUAGAAACUGGGAAACUUGAGUGCAGAAGAGGACAGUGGAACUCCAUGUGUAGCGGUGAAAUGCGUAGAUAUAUGGAAGAACACCAGUGGCGAAGGCGGCUGUCUGGUCUGUAACUGACGCUGAGGCUCGAAAGUAUGGGGAGCGAACA